UGAUUUAGGUGGAUUCUAUAUUGUCCCAUUUGAGCUUAUGUCUUAUAUGAGCGCUUUGUUGAAUAAAAUUAGUAUUUGGGAUAGUAAUGAGCAAGUAGUUCAAUUAUGUUCCUUCUUGAUUAUCACUUUAUAAGUUAGGAGUUGUGAUGUUUUUGUUUUUUCAAAUUGAAAUCAAACAAUAAUAUUCUAUUUUGGCAUCUCCAUCUUUGUCGGCAUCGGUGUCUACGUUCUUGGCUCUGCUAGGUAGCACACUUACUCCCUUUUCCGUUUCCAAUUCUUUGAUUUUGUUAUUCUCGUGUUUUGACAUUGAAUUGCAUUCAUGGC
RNAcentral lists this long non-coding RNA (324 nucleotides) under Trifolium pratense (red clover). RNAcentral's name for it is "long non-coding RNA (TPRA_LNC001350)". The record is from RNAcentral. Lineage: Eukaryota; Viridiplantae; Streptophyta; Magnoliopsida; Fabales; Fabaceae.